This 237-nucleotide ribosomal RNA is filed under the name Brachoria laminata. Its description in RNAcentral is "partial small subunit ribosomal RNA". Lineage: Eukaryota; Metazoa; Arthropoda; Diplopoda; Polydesmida; Xystodesmidae. The record is from RNAcentral.
UUUUUGGACGUCAAGUCAAGGUGCAGCUUAUGGAGGGGGUUCUUUGGGUUACAAUUUUUGUUGGAAAUACGAAUUAGGAUCAGGAUUGGUUCCUUGGAAGGUGGAUUUGUAAGUAAUUAUUUUUAUAGGAUUGAUAAAUGAAGGAUGGAAUAACAUGUGUACAUAUUGCCCGUCGCUCUCGUUAUUUUUGAGAUAAGUCGUAACAUAGUUGAUGAACUGGAAAGUGUAUCUUUUUGA